RNAcentral lists this ribosomal RNA (1990 nucleotides) under Salmonella enterica subsp. enterica serovar Strathcona. RNAcentral's name for it is "partial 23S ribosomal RNA". It matches the Rfam family "Bacterial large subunit ribosomal RNA", at positions 711 to 2682 of the family's 2925-position model. Lineage: Bacteria; Pseudomonadati; Pseudomonadota; Gammaproteobacteria; Enterobacterales; Enterobacteriaceae. The record is from RNAcentral.
AGACCCGAAACCCGGUGAUCUAGCCAUGGGCAGGUUGAAGGUUGGGUAACACUAACUGGAGGACCGAACCGACUAAUGUUGAAAAAUUAGCGGAUGACCUGUGGCUGGGGGUGAAAGGCCAAUCAAACCGGGAGAUAGCUGGUUCUCCCCGAAAGCUAUUUAGGUAGCGCCUCGUGAAUUCAUCUCCGGGGGUAGAGCACUGUUUCGGCUAGGGGGCCAUCCCGGCUUACCAACCCGAUGCAAACUGCGAAUACCGGAGAAUGUUAUCACGGGAGACACACGGCGGGUGCUAACGUCCGUCGUGAAGAGGGAAACAACCCAGACCGCCAGCUAAGGUCCCAAAGUCAUGGUUAAGUGGGAAACGAUGUGGGAAGGCCCAGACAGCCAGGAUGUUGGCUUAGAAGCAGCCAUCAUUUAAAGAAAGCGUAAUAGCUCACUGGUCGAGUCGGCCUGCGCGGAAGAUGUAACGGGGCUAAACCAUGCACCGAAGCUGCGGCAGCGACACUGUGUGUUGUUGGGUAGGGGAGCGUUCUGUAAGCCUGUGAAGGUGGCCUGUGAGGGUUGCUGGAGGUAUCAGAAGUGCGAAUGCUGACAUAAGUAACGAUAAAGCGGGUGAAAAGCCCGCUCGCCGGAAGACCAAGGGUUCCUGUCCAACGUUAAUCGGGGCAGGGUGAGUCGACCCCUAAGGCGAGGCCGAAAGGCGUAGUCGAUGGGAAACGGGUUAAUAUUCCCGUACUUGGUGUUACUGCGAAGGGGGGACGGAGAAGGCUAUGUUGGCCGGGCGACGGUUGUCCCGGUUUAAGCGUGUAGGUGUGUGUUCCAGGUAAAUCCGGUUCACUUUAACACUGAGGCGUGACGACGAGGCACUACGGUGCUGAAGCAACAAAUGCCCUGCUUCCAGGAAAAGCCUCUAAGCAUCAGGUAACAUCAAAUCGUACCCCAAACCGACACAGGUGGUCAGGUAGAGAAUACCAAGGCGCUUGAGAGAACUCGGGUGAAGGAACUAGGCAAAAUGGUGCCGUAACUUCGGGAGAAGGCACGCUGACACGUAGGUGAAGUGAUUUACUCACGGAGCUGAAGUCAGUCGAAGAUACCAGCUGGCUGCAACUGUUUAUUAAAAACACAGCACUGUGCAAACACGAAAGUGGACGUAUACGGUGUGACGCCUGCCCGGUGCCGGAAGGUUAAUUGAUGGGGUCAGCGCAAGCGAAGCUCCUGAUCGAAGCCCCGGUAAACGGCGGCCGUAACUAUAACGGUCCUAAGGUAGCGAAAUUCCUUGUCGGGUAAGUUCCGACCUGCACGAAUGGCGUAAUGAUGGCCAGGCUGUCUCCACCCGAGACUCAGUGAAAUUGAACUCGCUGUGAAGAUGCAGUGUACCCGCGGCAAGACGGAAAGACCCCGUGAACCUUUACUAUAGCUUGACACUGAACAUUGAGCCUUGAUGUGUAGGAUAGGUGGGAGGCUUUGAAGUGUGGACGCCAGUCUGCAUGGAGCCGACCUUGAAAUACCACCCUUUAAUGUUUGAUGUUCUAACGUGGACCCGUAAUCCGGGUUGCGGACAGUGUCUGGUGGGUAGUUUGACUGGGGCGGUCUCCUCCUAAAGAGUAACGGAGGAGCACGAAGGUUGGCUAAUCCUGGUCGGACAUCAGGAGGUUAGUGCAAUGGCAUAAGCCAGCUUGACUGCGAGCGUGACGGCGCGAGCAGGUGCGAAAGCAGGUCAUAGUGAUCCGGUGGUUCUGAAUGGAAGGGCCAUCGCUCAACGGAUAAAAGGUACUCCGGGGAUAACAGGCUGAUACCGCCCAAGAGUUCAUAUCGACGGCGGUGUUUGGCACCUCGAUGUCGGCUCAUCACAUCCUGGGGCUGAAGUAGGUCCCAAGGGUAUGGCUGUUCGCCAUUUAAAGUGGUACGCGAGCUGGGUUUAGAACGUCGUGAGACAGUUCGGUCCCUAUCUGCCGUGGGCGCUGGAGAACUGAGGGGGGCUGCUCCUAGU